UACGUAGGGUGCAAGCGUUGUCCGGAAUUAUUGGGCGUAAAGAGCUCGUAGGCGGCUUGUCGCGUCUGCUGUGAAAUCCCGGGGCUCAACCCCGGGCCUGCAGUGGGUACGGGCAAGCUAGAGUGCGGUAGGGGAGAUUGGAAUUCCUGGUGUAGCGGUGGAAUGCGCAGAUAUCAGGAGGAACACCGAUGGCGAAGGCAGAUCUCUGGGCCGCUACUGACGCUGAGGAGCGAAAGCAUGGGGAGCGAACAGG
Molecule: ribosomal RNA, 253 nt
Filed under: uncultured Leucobacter sp.
Lineage: Bacteria; Bacillati; Actinomycetota; Actinomycetes; Micrococcales; Microbacteriaceae
Description: partial 16S ribosomal RNA
Rfam family: Bacterial small subunit ribosomal RNA
Source: RNAcentral